This is a long non-coding RNA of Thunnus maccoyii (southern bluefin tuna), 633 nucleotides long. RefSeq lists it as uncharacterized. The transcript is spliced from 3 exons. The record is from RefSeq and is a predicted model, not a curated record. NCBI's taxonomy places the organism in Eukaryota, Metazoa, Chordata, Actinopteri, Scombriformes, Scombridae.
GCGGAUGAUGCCGAAUGUGCAAAAAUCUUAGAUAUGUUUGCGGCAGGAGCUGCAGCAGUAGCUUUAACAUCAUUCAACCUCGUUAUGCAGCAACAGGUGGAAGAAGGAGAGGUGGCUGCCCAUGACGACUGCCAGGCAGAGGAGGAGGAAGAGGAGCAGGUGUGCGACAGGGAAGCCGAGGAACAGAGUGAGCAGGAGAAGAGUGUAGUUGAAGUGGUGGGAUCACCGCUGUCUCCUCAGCUGAACCUACACUGAGAUGUCUGUGGAAACAUCUCCAGGGGCUCAUUGGGUGAUUUGUUAGGGAACGAGGAUCCUGAAGAGGAGUUCUUUGAUUGAGAGAUGAACUCUUGUGAUACACUGCAACUGCAAUUGUUUUGUGUGUUUCUUGUUUGCUUGUAUUCUUGUACUACUAUCUGUUAGGAUCUGGUUAUUCCAAGGGUUUUGAAUAUGUGUUUUCUUUUCAAUUUCUUUUCUAGGAUUGAUUUUUAUUACAGGGACUAAAAAAUAUACCCCAGCUCAGUAUCAGUCAAAACACUACUCUUUUCAUUCAUUUUUAUUCAUAGAAGGAGUGAAAAACACUGAAAAAUUAUGAAUAAAUAUCAUGAAAAACCCCCCAAAGUGCUUGAUUGAGGA